CCUACGGGAUGCAGCAGUGGGGAAUAUUGCACAAUGGGCGCAAGCCUGAUGCAGCCAUGCCGCGUGUAUGAAGAAGGCCUUCGGGUUGUAAAGUACUUUCAGCGGGGAGGAAGGCGAUAAGGUUAAUAACCUUGUCGAUUGAGGUUACCCGCAGAAGAAGCACCGGCUAACUCCGUGCCAUCAGCCGCGGUAAUACGGAGGGUGCAAGCGUUAAUCGGAGUUACUGGGCGUAAAGCGCACGCAGGCGGUCUGUCAAGUCGGAUGUGAAAUCCCCGGGCUCAACCUGGGAACUGCAUUCGAAACUGGCAGGCUAGAGUCUUGUAGAGGGGGGUAGAAUUCCAGGUGUAGCGGUGAAAUGCGUAGAGAUCUGGAGGAAUACCGGUGGCGAAGGCGGCCCCCUGGACAAAGACUGACGCUCAGGUGCGAAAGCGUGGGGAGCAAACAGGAUUAGAUACCCUCGUAGUC
Molecule: ribosomal RNA, 465 nt
Filed under: uncultured bacterium
Lineage: Bacteria
Description: bacterial SSU rRNA
Rfam family: Bacterial small subunit ribosomal RNA
Source: RNAcentral